Long non-coding RNA from Arachis duranensis, 868 nucleotides. RefSeq lists it as uncharacterized. The transcript has 3 exons. The record is from RefSeq and is a predicted model, not a curated record. Lineage: Eukaryota; Viridiplantae; Streptophyta; Magnoliopsida; Fabales; Fabaceae.
CGGUAUUCGAGCAAAUAGGAAUUGGAAAGAAUGCCAGUCACGUAUGUUUCUUCAAUUUAAUCACUUCUCGAUGAUUUGAUUCUUUUUCACGAGACUUUUUUUUUUACAACGAAGAUCAUUGUUAUUCUGUUUGAAUGUUACUUAAUUUUGUUUUCUUUGUCAAAGUCUCAAUGCAAUUAUCUUAUUGACUCAAUGCAAUGAUCCUUUUGGAGCAGUCAAUAAUCCGCUCUACCAAAUUACUACUAUUAAGCAGGUGAAGCUUUGAUUUUUUGAUACACACUGUGACAUGAACCUUUCCAAUGUAUUUGGACAUAAAUAUGUCUAGAUACAUUAAUUUUCCGAUGUACCGAAAAAGUAAGAGUGCCAAUUGGAAUGGAAGGAGUAGUUUUCUCUUGAUCUCAUUAUGUUUAUUGACCAGUACUCUAUUCAUGCAGCCUAAUGGAAUAGAAAAUGGUCCUUAUGAUUAUACCAGAAGUGGAAAUCUCACUCGAGAUGCUUUAGAAAGGUUUACUGUGUCCUGUUAGUUGUGUUUGUUUACCAUUGCAACUGCCAAUAUUGUGGCAUUAAUGUUUUCUUUUCUCACCACGUUUUACCUUGCAUGCUGUGUUCUCAAUUUGUUGGCGAAACAUGAUAAAGCAGAUAAAGCCAUAUGCUUCACCAGUGGAAUGGCUGCUCUGAGUGCUGUUUCUCAUCUUGUUUAAGUGAAGAAAUUGUUGCUGGAGAUGAUCUAUAUGGUGGAACAGACAGGUUGAUGUCCCGAGUAAUUCCAAAGAAUGGCAUUAUGGUCAAACUGAUUGGAAAAGGUGGCUUUUUCCCCCUUACAAUGCACUUCAGUGAAGACCUAUCCUAGCAAGCCUCCGAAGUGUAA